GAAAUGGAACUAAACCGCCGAUAAUAAUCCACAUCGAUGAUAUCAUCAGAAAGAACGAUAUCCCUUGGACAGACUUGGAUCUUUCCUUGCACGGAAAGCCCUCAACGUCCUCCUUGAUAUAGUGGUCGCUGACUCAGGAAUUCGGAACACAAUUAUCCAGACUGACAAUGCCUAAGCAAGUUUUUAUAUCUGUGGAGAUAUCAGAGGAAAUGGAGGAAAUCGUUGUUCCUAGUGGGCUCACUUGUCACUUCCACUCCGAAUGCCGUUGCGUUUGUAAAAGUUUCAUCUGUUGUAUGUCCCGAUAGCGCCUGCACUCGAUAAUCCUGUGAGUGCGUGAAGAAAAGGAAGACGCUAAGAGAAAAGAUAUCAAUCAGCUGAAGAAAUCGCUGCUCACCAUACCGUUCGAAACUGCAGAAAAGCUAAAGCUAAUCGUCGUCGAACAUUGCGCAUAUUAAGAAAUAUCAACAGCAACUCGGUCGUUAACAUAAUUGAACGGGAAAUCAAUUAGUCAAAUUACAUAUAUACUACUUGGGGAUUCUAAACUGAGAACUUUUCUGGAAGAUGGAAUAUUCAGCUGCUAAAAUUCUUGACAGCUUGUGAAGGACGGCCUGUGGUGCAAAUGUAUUGUUCUGUGAGCCAUAAUCGGGUAACUAGCGUCUCGACAAAUAUUUAUGACGGUAGCUCAUCGCUAUUGCAUCUCGAUGGCAACUGUCUGUUCCAAAAGAAGAUUAUUGUGAACCGGAUGUCGUUUUGUAUGCCCCAUCAACGAUCGUAAAAGUUAGGAAUGACACUGGCUACCAACCAGUAACCGUGAGGACGUUGCUAGAUGCUACAGUAUUUCUUCUUUUGAGCUUGAAUUUCGACAUUACUCCUUGGGAGUAUAGCUUGCGAUAACUUGCGGCAACUCGACACGGACGACAAACUCGGAUUUAGUGAAUAAGCUCUUCAGAACUGCGGAUAUGAGAUGAGAUCUGCUGGGCCAAUAUUUAUCGCAGAUAUUAGGUUGUGACUACAGAGGCCGCUUAUACGAUCGUAGCUUGGCAGCAAGCCAUUGCACAUGACUCAACUCAGCUGAUAGAGAUAUAGUUUCAUCCAGGUGUAGUAGUGUACUGCCGCUAACCGAAAAUCAGGCUAACCUGGAUACGGUAUCCAUAUACAGAUAAGUCUGACUUGCGGUUAGCGGCAGUGUAGGUUUAAAUACAACACUUCUAUUUCAGAACUUUUCCUGAAACGAUAUUUAACGUAACACAAAAUUACUCAGUUAUCAGCAAGUGAUUCUUCUUCGUGCUAUAAAUUGUUCAAAUAAAGAUAU
This is a long non-coding RNA of Armigeres subalbatus, 1312 nucleotides long. RefSeq lists it as uncharacterized. The record is from RefSeq and is a predicted model, not a curated record. The transcript has 4 exons. Lineage: Eukaryota; Metazoa; Arthropoda; Insecta; Diptera; Culicidae.